This 73-nucleotide transfer RNA is filed under the name Corynebacterium diphtheriae. RNAcentral describes it as "tRNA-Val(gac)". It matches the Rfam family "tRNA". Rfam says of the family: Transfer RNA (tRNA) molecules are approximately 80 nucleotides in length. Their secondary structure includes four short double-helical elements and three loops (D, anti-codon, and T loops). Further hydrogen bonds mediate the characteristic L-shaped molecular structure. tRNAs have two regions of fundamental functional importance: the anti-codon, which is responsible for specific mRNA codon recognition, and the 3' end, to which the tRNAs corresponding amino acid is attached (by aminoacyl-tRNA synthetases). tRNAs cope with the degeneracy of the genetic code in two manners: having more than one tRNA (with a specific anti-codon) for a particular amino acid; and 'wobble' base-pairing, i.e. permitting non-standard base-pairing at the 3rd anti-codon position. RNAcentral also lists the same sequence under 16 other names. The record is from RNAcentral. Lineage: Bacteria; Bacillati; Actinomycetota; Actinomycetes; Mycobacteriales; Corynebacteriaceae.
GCGCGUUUAGCUCAGCGGGAGAGCGCUUCCCUGACACGGAAGAGGUCACUGGUUCAAUCCCAGUAUCGCGCAC